AUGACAACAGAGCAAGUACUCCACACAACUUUAUUUGGAAAGAGACGGGCUCGCUUUGGAGCUACCAAUCGCCCUGGCCACAAAUCAAACAAGCACGAUUGUAUACUAGAGUACCUACGUGUGCACGCACAUACGCCAUGGCUCUUCGUGGGCUCGCUUUGCCUCGGGUCGCCCUGCCAGCAGCACGCACGAGUCCGCCGAUCACAGCCGGACUACGGUCAAGCCCGCUUCGUGCAUUCCUCGCCGUUUGCGAACCGCAAGCUCAUCGUUUGCUCGUCGUCCACUCCCUACUCGGCAACCGGCGGCAAGGAAGAAGGGGCAGCAGGGGGAGACGCGCAAGAGCUAAAGCUUCUGGGGACGUGGAGGGGGCCAUUCGCGCUGCGAUCCAACCCGGUGAACAAGAAGGUGCCCGUGCUCAUCCACAACGGCGUGCCCAUCUACGCUCGCCAUGUUGGAGUACAUCGACGAGGUCUACCGUGGGAUGGGAUCAUCCCUCCUCCCCGCCGACCCCUACCAACACCUAGGGCUCGAUUCUGGGCCGCCUACAUUGACAACAAGCUAGUCACUCCAUGGUGGAAGAUGUUUGUGGACAAGACAGACAAGGAGAAAGAUGAAGGGACAAAGCAAACACUUGCAGCAGUGGAGAUGCUAGAGGGGGCCCUGAGGGAAUGCUCCAAGGGGAAGCCGUUCUUUGGAGGAGAAAACAUCGGCUAUGUUGACAUUGUGUUGGGUGGUGUGGUCGCAUGGAUGCAAGGAACCAAGGCGCUCUGUGGUGUGGAGCUCCUUCACGCCACGAAGACUCCGCUUUUGCUGGCAUGGAUGGGGCGCUUUGGCAAACUAGAACCUACCAAGGUGGUUCUGCCAGAAGUCGAUAGGUUGGUCGAGUUUGCAAAGAUGAAACAGUGUUAUUAUUCAGACAAGCUAGUAUUUGGAGUUCAGUCCUCUACACGUAAUUCCCCUCCUAGUACAAGUAGCACGGUGUCCAUGUAUGCACAAGGAAGACCGCUAGUCACUCCAUGGUGGAAGAUGUUUGUGGACAAGACAGACAAGGAGAAAGAUGAAGGGACAAAGCAAACACUUGCAGCAGUGGAGAUGCUAGAGGGGGCCCUGAGGGAGUGCUCCAAGGGGAAGCCGUUCUUUGGAGGAGAAAACAUCGGCUAUGUUGACAUUGUGUUGGGUGGUGUGGUCGCAUGGAUGCAAGGAACCGAGGCGCUCUGUGGUGUGGAGCUCCUUCACGCCACGAAGACUCCGCUUUUGCUGGCAUGGAUGGGGCGCUUUGGCAAACUAGAACCUACCAAGGUGGUUCUGCCAGAAGUCGAUAGGUUGGUCGAGUUUGCAAAGAUGAAACAGUGUUAUUAUUCAGACAAGCUAGUAUUUGGAGUUCAGUCCUCUACACGUAAUUCCCCUCCUAGUACAAGUAGCACGGUGUCCGUAGGAUGCGGGAGCACAACACCUUUGGACAGUUGGAAACAUGCCAUGGAGACAACGGUUCCUCGUUCGCUGGAGUGGACGCACCCUAUAAAGAUUGAUCAUCAAAGCUCGUGGGUUUUCUAUACCGGAAAGAGACUAAGAAGACGUCUCUUGACCGCACCGUCCAAAUGUUGCACUGUUGGUUUUUGGAUGUAA
Molecule: ribosomal RNA, 1626 nt
Filed under: Triticum aestivum (bread wheat)
Lineage: Eukaryota; Viridiplantae; Streptophyta; Magnoliopsida; Poales; Poaceae
Description: partial small subunit ribosomal RNA
Source: RNAcentral